Molecule: ribosomal RNA, 290 nt
Filed under: uncultured bacterium
Lineage: Bacteria
Description: partial 16S ribosomal RNA
Rfam family: Bacterial small subunit ribosomal RNA
Source: RNAcentral
AACGAACGCUGGCGGCAGGCUUAACACAUGCAAGUCGAACGAGAAGCUAGAGCUUGCUCUAGUGGAAAGUGGCAGACGGGUGAGUAACGCGUGGGAAUUUACCUAGAGGUACGGAAUAACGCAGGGAAACUUGUGCUAAUACCGUAUACGCCCUUCGGGGGAAAGAUUUAUCGCCUUUAGAUGAGCCCGCGUCGGAUUAGCUUGUUGGUAGGGUAACGGCCUACCAAGGCAACGAUCCGUAGCUGGUCUGAGAGGAUGAUCAGCCACACUGGGACUGAGACACGGCCCAG